RNAcentral lists this ribosomal RNA (468 nucleotides) under uncultured bacterium. RNAcentral describes it as "partial 16S ribosomal RNA". It matches the Rfam family "Bacterial small subunit ribosomal RNA", at positions 28 to 507 of the family's 1533-position model. The record is from RNAcentral.
GACGAACGCUGACGGCGUGCUUAACACAUGCAAGUCGAACGGAAAGGCCCUGCUUUUGUGGGGUGCUCGAGUGGCGAACGGGUGAGUAACACGUGAGUAACCUGCCCUUGACUUUGGGAUAACUUCAGGAAACUGGGGCUAAUACCGGCUAGGAGCUCCUGCUGCAUGGUGGGGGUUGGACAGUUUCGGCGGUUGGGGAUGGACUCGCGGCUUAUCAGCUUGUUGGUGGGGUAGUGGCUUACCAAGGCUUUGACGGGUAGCCGGCCUGAGAGGGUGACCGGCCACAUUGGGACUGAGAUACGGCCCAGACGCCUACGGGAGGCAGCAGUGGGGAAUAUUGCACAAUGGGCGGAAGCCUGAUGCAGCAACGCCGCGUGCGGGAUGACGGCCUUCGGGUUGUAAACCGCUUUCGCCUGUGACGAAGCGUGAGUGACGGUAAUGGGUAAAGAAGCACCGGCUAACUACGUG